This 253-nucleotide ribosomal RNA is filed under the name uncultured bacterium. RNAcentral describes it as "partial 16S ribosomal RNA". It matches the Rfam family "Bacterial small subunit ribosomal RNA", at positions 524 to 776 of the family's 1533-position model. The record is from RNAcentral.
UACGGAGGUCCCAAGCGUUGUUCGGAUUCACUGGGCGUAAAGGGUGCGUAGGUGGUUGGGUAAGUCUGAUGUGAAAUCUCCGGGCUCAACCCGGAAAUGGCAUUGAAUACUAUCUGGCUAGAGGGUCGGAGGGGAGACUGGAAUUCUCGGUGUAGCAGUGAAAUGCGUAGAUAUCGAGAGGAACACCUGAGGUGAAGACGGGUUGCUGGGCUGACACUGACGCUGAGGCGCGAAAGCCAGGGGAGCAAACGGG